CUUACAUAUAUAUUGGAAGUUCAACUUUUGCCUAUAAUACUGCCUAGUAUUGUUUCUUAGAAUAAUUAUAAACUCUGUAUGCAAUGUUUUCCUUGCCCUCUUUCUUCAUUUUCAUUAGUCGCGCACUAAAAAUUUUCAGGUUUGCUGCCAUUGCCUCCCAUUUGACAGGAAGAAAAGAUGAUCAGACGGAGAUUAUCCGGAACUCACAUCUGAAGGAACUGGUUCUCAAAUAUUAGUCACAAUCGCCGAGAUCAGUGGUGGAGCUAGGAUUGUCGUUGAUCUAGUUAAAGCAAUGUUUUUUGAAUCCCCUUGAGUCAAGGGGAUUCAACAACUUUUAUAUAUCUUGAAAGACUAAUUUUUAUCCUAUUUGUAAAGUAUAGGAUUCAAUUGAACCCCCUUCCUUCAAGCUAGCUCAGCCCUUGCUCAGGAUAGUCAGCAAGUUCCCCUUCACAUGAAACUUGAAUCUGUGAUCAUUGAUCAUACCUUUACUGAACCCUUGAAGACUCUCAAGCCUCAGUUCUUCUAACAGUGCUGACAAUGAAAGUUCUGAAGAGCCAACAAAACAUAUGACUGUUAAUUCAGAUACCUAAAGAGUUGCAUGCUUUGGGUGAUUCCUCUAUUGUCUCAUGUUCUGCUGAUACAGGAAUUCGACAAGACUUAACCUGAAGGGACGCUAAGAGGCAAGUAAUCGAGACACUGGAGCGCUUGGACUUUCGUGAGUCGCACAGCACUGCAUCAAUUGCCUUGGUGAAACAUGAUUACUGUAGUUGUUUCUGUAGGGCAAAAAGGAAUGGCCAAAUGUGCAAAUGACAUAACCAAGUGAAGCAACUGGGGAUAAACUUUCAAUUUCCUAGAGACAAUUCUCUCAUAAAGAGCAAUCAAUACUUCUGUAAUCAACAAUAUGUUCAUUCUGAGCAAGACUGUCAAAUUUGCUACUAUACUGUAACUUUUAUUGAUUAUUUGUUGUUUAAUUUGGAAUAACUAGUGUGUUAUUUGCAGUCGACGUGAUUCAUAAAACUAUCUUUCCUUCCACAAGCUAAACCAAUUCAUGUAUAUUAGUCCUUAGUACAUCAGAAUCACAAUAUGUAUGAGAAAUCAGCAUACUAAAUACAUACUUGUUUUCCGCUUUUGAUU
Molecule: long non-coding RNA, 1134 nt
Organism: Capsicum annuum
Lineage: Eukaryota; Viridiplantae; Streptophyta; Magnoliopsida; Solanales; Solanaceae
Exons: 3
Source: RefSeq, a predicted model, not a curated record